UAGGGAAUCUUCCACAAUGGACGCAAGUCUGAUGGAGCAACGCCGCGUGAGUGAAGAAGGUUUUCGGACCGUAAAGCUCUGUUGUUGGUGAAGAAGGAUAGAGGUAGUAACUGGCCUUUAUUUGACGGUAAUCAACCAGAAAGUCACGGCUAACUACGUGCCAGCAGCCGCGGUAAUACGUAGGUGGCAAGCGUUGUCCGGAUUUAUUGGGCGUAAAGCGAGCGCAGGCGGAAGAAUAAGUCUGAUGUGAAAGCCCUCGGCUUAACCGAGGAAUUGCAUCGGAAACUGUUUUCUUGAGUGCAGAAGAGGAGAGUAGAACUCCAUGUGUAGCGGUGGAAUGCGUAGAUAUAUGGAAGAAUACCAGUGGCGAAGGCGGCUCUCUGGUCUGCAACUGACGCUGAGGCUCGAAAGCAUGGGUGGCGAACAGGAUUAGAUACCCUGGUAGUCCAUGCCGUAAACGAUGAGUGCUAAGUGUUGGGAGGCUUCCGCCUCUCAGUGCUGCAGCUAACGCAUUAAGCACUCCGCCUGGGGGAGUACGACCGCAAGGUUGAAAC
RNAcentral lists this ribosomal RNA (554 nucleotides) under uncultured bacterium. RNAcentral's name for it is "partial 16S ribosomal RNA". It matches the Rfam family "Bacterial small subunit ribosomal RNA", at positions 355 to 900 of the family's 1533-position model. The record is from RNAcentral.